RNAcentral lists this ribosomal RNA (544 nucleotides) under uncultured Isochrysis. RNAcentral's name for it is "partial Bacterial small subunit ribosomal RNA". It matches the Rfam family "Bacterial small subunit ribosomal RNA", at positions 21 to 518 of the family's 1533-position model. The record is from RNAcentral. Lineage: Eukaryota; Haptophyta; Isochrysidales.
GGCUCAGAUUGAACGCUGGCGGCAGGCCUAACACAUGCAAGUCGAGCGGACCCUUCGGGGUUAGCGGCGGACGGGUGAGUAACGCGUGGGGUAGAGAGAAGCUUGCUUCUCUUGAGAGCGGCGGACGGGUGAGUAAUGCCUAGGAAUCUGCCUGGUAGUGGGGGAUAACGUUCGGAAACGGACGCUAAUACCGCAUACGUCCUACGGGAGAAAGCAGGGGACCUUCGGGCCUUGCGCUAUCAGAUGAGCCUAGGUCGGAUUAGCUAGUUGGUGGGGUAAUGGCUCACCAAGGCGACGAUCCGUAACUGGUCUGAGAGGAUGAUCAGUCACACUGGAACUGAGACACGGUCCAGACUCCUACGGGAGGCAGCAGUGGGGAAUAUUGGACAAUGGGGGCAACCCUGAUCCAGCCAUGCCGCGUGUGUGAAGAAGGCCUUUUGGUUGUAAAGCACUUUAAGCAGGGAGGAGAGGCUAAUGGUUAAUACCCAUUAGAUUAGACGUUACCUGCAGAAUAAGCACCGGCUAACUCUGUGCCAGCAGCCGC